GACUGUUCCCCUCUGGAGGUUUUGAAAACCUUCAUAUCUCAGGGCCGCGGAUUUAUCCGGCGGCCCAUUUUUUUGCUUUAG
Molecule: unclassified non-coding RNA, 81 nt
Filed under: Martinezella hainanensis
Lineage: Bacteria; Pseudomonadati; Pseudomonadota; Alphaproteobacteria; Hyphomicrobiales; Rhizobiaceae
Description: Rhizobium hainanense suhB
Rfam family: Alphaproteobacterial ar15 (bases 1-71)
Source: RNAcentral